UUUAAAUAGAAAAAAGAAUUGGAUCUUUGACUAAAGAACAACAAAAACCCAAACAAAAAAUCCAGGUGGAUUAAAGACCUAAAUAUGAAAAGAAAUACAGAAGAAAACAGAUGUAGGGGAGGACUUCCUGAGUAAAACACAAAAAGCACAAAGUAAAAGUUCAACAACAAACUUACUGAGAACAGAUGAAUGAAACCUUGCCUGUCCUAUAAGGAAUACAGUCAUCUGCCAGAAGAAAAAUGGUGAUUCUUCCCAGUCCAAAGGUGAAGAUGGUGACUGUGAAAGUAUCAGCUUUAGCCAGACCACUGAUGAAGCUCCCAGAUGUCACAGCAUCCAUGGGCUUGUGAUCUCAGGUGAAGGCAUUGAACCCUGAGCCCUGGAUUCCCAUCUCUUCACUUGCUCCCUCCACCACCCCACCCCCAUAUUCAGAAUGGCCUCUAGGCUUCUAGGUUUGUGUCUUUAAUGGCACCUAGGCAAUAAAUAAAAAAUACAGUGCAGUGCUGACUGCA
Molecule: long non-coding RNA, 509 nt
Filed under: Homo sapiens (human)
Lineage: Eukaryota; Metazoa; Chordata; Mammalia; Primates; Hominidae
Description: non-protein coding lnc-SRPRA-3:2
Source: RNAcentral